RNAcentral lists this unclassified non-coding RNA (334 nucleotides) under soil metagenome. Its description in RNAcentral is "partial contains 5.8S ribosomal RNA, internal transcribed spacer 2, and large subunit ribosomal RNA". The stretch from base 1 to 120 matches the Rfam family "5.8S ribosomal RNA", at positions 35 to 154 of the family's 154-position model. The record is from RNAcentral.
GAUGAAGAACGUAGCGAAAUGCGAUAAGUAGUGUGAAUUGCAGAAUUCAGUGAAUCAUCGAAUCUUUGAACGCACAUUGCGCCCUUUGGUAUUCCUUAGGGCAUGCCUGUUCGAGCGUCAUUUAAACCUUCAAGCUCAGCUUGGUGUUGGGUGACUGUCCGCUUCACCGCGGACUCGCCUCAAAAUUAUUGGCGGCCGGUACAUUGGCUAUCGAGCGCAGCAGAAACGCGUGACUCGAGGUCCUCGUGCUGGCUCCCAGAAGCUAUCUUCACAAUUUUGACCUCGGAUCAGGUAGGGAUACCCGCUGAACUUAAGCAUAUCAAUAAGCGGAGGA